UGGGGAAUAUUGCACAAUGGGCGGAAGCCUGAUGCAGCAACGCCGCGUGAGCGAUGAAGGCCUUUGGGUCGUAAAGCUCUGUCCUUGGGGAAGAAAAAAAUGACGGUACCCUUGGAGGAAGCCCCGGCUAACUACGUGCCAGCAGCCGCGGUAAUACGUAGGGGGCAAGCGUUAUCCGGAAUGAUUGGGCGGAAAGAGUGCGUAGGUGGUCCGGUAAGCGCGGGGUGAAAGGCAAGGGCUCAACUAUUGUAAGCCUUGCGAACUG
RNAcentral lists this ribosomal RNA (265 nucleotides) under uncultured prokaryote. RNAcentral's name for it is "partial 16S ribosomal RNA". It matches the Rfam family "Bacterial small subunit ribosomal RNA", at positions 355 to 635 of the family's 1533-position model. The record is from RNAcentral.